AUACGGAGGAUCCAAGCGUUAUCCGGAUUUAUUGGGUUUAAAGGGUGCGUAGGCUGUGCGUUAAGUCAGGGGUGAAAUGCCGUCGCUCAACGACGGAGCUGCCCUUGAUACUGGCGUGCUGGAGUACGGAUGCCGUUGGAGGAAUGAGUGGUGUAGCGGUGAAAUGCUUAGAUAUCACUCAGAACACCGAUUGCGAAGGCAUCUGACGAAUCCGUCACGGACGCUGAGGCACGAAAGCGUGGGGAUAGAACAGGAUUAGAUACCCUGGUAUUCCACGCCGUAAACGAUGAUGACUAACCGUCGGCGAUAGACAGCCGGUGGCCAAGCGAAAGCGAUAAGUCAUCCACCUGGGGAGUACGUCGGCAACGAUGAAACUCAAAGGAAUUGACGGGG
This 393-nucleotide ribosomal RNA is filed under the name uncultured bacterium. RNAcentral's name for it is "partial 16S ribosomal RNA". It matches the Rfam family "Bacterial small subunit ribosomal RNA", at positions 523 to 918 of the family's 1533-position model. The record is from RNAcentral.